Molecule: ribosomal RNA, 440 nt
Filed under: uncultured bacterium
Lineage: Bacteria
Description: partial 16S ribosomal RNA
Rfam family: Bacterial small subunit ribosomal RNA
Source: RNAcentral
CCUACGGGUGGCAGCAGUGGGGGAUAUUGCACAAUGGGGGAAACCCUGAUGCAGCGACGCCGCGUGUGGGAAGACGGUCCUCUGGAUUGUAAACCACUGUCCCCAGGGACGAAGAUGACGGUACCUGGGGAGGAAGCUCCGGCUAACUACGUGCCAGCAGCCGCGGUAAUACGUAGGGAGCGAGCGUUGUCCGGAAUUACUGGGUGUAAAGGGAGCGUAGGCGGGACUGCAAGUUGGGUGUCAAAUCUACCGGCUCAACCGGUAGCCGCACUCAAAACUGCAGUUCGUGAGUGAAGUAGAGGCAGGCGGAAUUCCUAGUGUAGCGGUGAAAUGCGUAGAUAUCGCGCAGAACUCCGAUUGCGAAGGCAGCGUACCGGCGCCGGACUGACGCUGAGGCACGAAAGCGUGGGUAUCGAACAGGAUUAGAUACCCGGGUAGUC